This 217-nucleotide long non-coding RNA is filed under the name Capsella rubella. RNAcentral describes it as "long non-coding RNA (CRUB_LNC004080)". Lineage: Eukaryota; Viridiplantae; Streptophyta; Magnoliopsida; Brassicales; Brassicaceae. The record is from RNAcentral.
UAUUGAUCUUUCCGUUUCAUCUUUAUUUCUCAUUACUUUCUUCAAUUCAAAGAUUCAUGUUUUAGCCUUUUUGUUUUCUAAAGACUUAGGUAUUUCUAUUUUUUUUAAUACAUGGAUUUAUUGUAGUUUUGUUAUCCGAAGUAUACGUUAUCUUCUUGUACCCGUCAUAUCAUGUCUAAAUAUUUGAAAUAAAUAGGAAAGUGGAAAUUAAAUUUAG